AAGCUUUUAUGAAUAGCGAGCACGUGCAGCAAGGCGAGUUGCUUUGUUUGUUUCUUACAGAAAGCGGUCUGUCGUUUUCAUAUGCCAAAACAAGUGUAGGGAGAUAUUUCGUAUUGUAUUUUUUAUUACAUGUGAUGUUCUGAACUCUUAAAACUACUCGCAUCUUCUUUUAUUUUUUCAGACCUGAAAAAUGGCCAAGCCUCCACAGCCAGGCCUCAGACCACGGUGCCGAGGCGCUCUUACGGAGUCCACCAGGACGAAGAGAAAUUCAUAUAGCAAGGCAGAGUGUGGAAAGCAGUAGAGAUCUACAAAAUGGCGGACGGAGUACGGAUAUCAGGACGGAGCCAUGUAUUAUCACUGCGUUGAUUCCCG
Long non-coding RNA from Poecilia latipinna (sailfin molly), 372 nucleotides. RefSeq lists it as uncharacterized. Lineage: Eukaryota; Metazoa; Chordata; Actinopteri; Cyprinodontiformes; Poeciliidae. The record is from RefSeq and is a predicted model, not a curated record. The transcript has 3 exons.